This 319-nucleotide ribosomal RNA is filed under the name uncultured eukaryote. Its description in RNAcentral is "partial 18S ribosomal RNA". It matches the Rfam family "Eukaryotic small subunit ribosomal RNA", at positions 1470 to 1796 of the family's 1831-position model. The record is from RNAcentral.
CCCUUAGAUGGUCUGGGCGGCACGCGCGCUACAAUGAUGCAUUCAAAAAGUCUUCUGACCUUAGAAGGUUGGGUAUUCUCCAAAGUGCAUCGUGAUGGGAAUAGUUUAUUGCAAUUUUUAAUCUUGAACGAGGAAUUCCUAGUAAGUACAGGUCAUCAACUUGUGUUGAUUACGUCCCUGCCCUUUGUACACACCGCCCGUCGCUCCUACUGAUUGAGUGUCUCGGUGAAUUCUUUGAUCUUCUGUCGAUUCAGUUCACUGAUCCGACGGUGGAAAGUUGAAUGAACGUCGUCACUUAGAGGAAGGAGAAGUCGUAACA